CUGUAGCUGGAAAAUCUAAAAGUGAGUCGAAAGACAAGGAUAAGAAGCAUAAAAAGCACAAAGAUAAGGACAAGGAGAAGGACAAAGAGCAUAAGAAACACAAACAUCGGCAUAAAGAUCGAAGCAAAGACAAGGAUAAAGAGAAAAAGAGAGAUAAAAGUGGUCAUCAUGAUUCUGGUGCUGAUCAUUCGAAGAAACAUCAUGAGAAGGUCUGCUACUAGCAAAACCUUGAGAUAUUCUUUUUUCGAGUCCGAAACUGAAAUGAUGAUUAAUUGGACACAAAGCACAUUUUUAAUGUUUAAAAGAAAGUUACAAAUAGGUAAUUGACAGUACUGUACUGCGAAUUACUUUAACGGAAAUUUUGCCGUUAAAACAAUUCGCAUUAUAGUACUGCGAACUAUUUUAAAAUUUUUUAAUGUAAUUCGCAGUAUAGUGCUGCGAACUAUUUUAAUUUUUUUUAAAAGUAAUUCGCAGUACUAUACUGCGAAUUGCUUAAACGCAGUAUAAUACUGCGAAUUACAUAUUAAUUGGGCCCACCAAUAAUUUAACCGACAUAACAAUAAUUCAAAUACAUAAAACAUAGUAUUGUACUGUGAAUUCCUUUAAAAAAUUCUACACCCCAAACUCGGACUUGCUUUAUUUAUAGGCGUUUCAAUUUUUUGAAAAUUCAUUCAAUACUUAACUUCAAACAUACGUUCAUACUUCUCUCUUCUUGUUAUCAAUCAUUUUUUUACAAUGUCUGAAGUGCCAAAAAUAAUUGUUUCACUAUAUUGGAGGGGGGGGGGGUUGAGGUUUUGGUGGAGAAUAACUCUGUGAGGUAUAAUUCACCUCUACAAUGUCAUGUUAAAUUGUCGCUUACUAUGGAGUACAACAUAUUGGUAUCGUUGUUACGCAAAAAAGAUGAGUGAGUGGAGGCGUUCGGUUACCCUUAAAGUAACCGGUAGAUUUUCGUAUUCGGUGACUUCGCAUGGGUUUGCUUAUUAUUUUGAGUUUAACAUCGAGGAUAAUGAAACUCUUAGAGAUUUUUUGUGGAUUCCCGAUGAAUACAUGGAAUUUAUUGUAAUAAAAUUGUUGGAAAUGUACGUCAAGGUGGAAGACGUUCCCAGUAAUGAGGGCGUGCAUAAUAGGGAUAACCCCCUAUCAUUGGGUGGUUUUUCUGGAGCAGUUUUUUGCCGGACAAAUUGUUGAUGAAAGAGCUUGCCUUGAUUUAAACUUGUCACCACUGGUGAAUGAGCAGCUACAAAAUAAUUUUUCGACUUUAUAUAAUCAACAAGAGGACUGGUGAACUUCAAUUUUAGUACGCUUUAGCGAUGUUUAUUUUAUGUUCUAAUUGGAUUUGUAUUAACACUCAUAUUUUUCAUAGGGGUACCGUCCGGAUAUGAAUUUUACAAGUUAUG
Molecule: long non-coding RNA, 1397 nt
Filed under: Nicotiana benthamiana
Lineage: Eukaryota; Viridiplantae; Streptophyta; Magnoliopsida; Solanales; Solanaceae
Description: long non-coding RNA (NBEN_LNC002709)
Source: RNAcentral